Molecule: long non-coding RNA, 1005 nt
Filed under: Gouania willdenowi (blunt-snouted clingfish)
Lineage: Eukaryota; Metazoa; Chordata; Actinopteri; Blenniiformes; Gobiesocidae
Description: lncRNA (ENSGWIG00000000635.1)
Source: RNAcentral
AUUUAUUUAUGAUUUUUUUUCCAAGGCCCUAAUCCUCUUUCGUACUUUUCUCACAUAGGUUAUAAAAAAAAAACUAUUAGAAGCAAGGUAGAAAUACGAGGCUCCUCUUUGACGCCAGUACACACUCAUGUCCAGUGGGUGGCGGUAGCUACUGACAAAACGCUUCACACGAAGAAGACGAAGAAGAAAAAGCGACAGCAGAAGAAGAAAAAGAAAAGGAAAACAAGCUUAAGCUUCUGACCUAAGAAGUCCCUUAAACGUCGUUUACAGUGACCGAAACUCCAACUCGGUGUGUUUAUUUCUCUUCAAAAGCAACACUUUGAAUCAAGACUCUUUUCUUCGUCAAAUUAGAGCCACAGCGGAUCGUGUGAUGAUGGAUCGUUACUACGUGAAGCUCAUUAAAGCUGCCCUCAACCCAAAAGUUGUUUUGCACAGAUUAGCGUUGCCUGCAGAUCACAUGAAACCGUUGCUAGUCGAUGGCAUUUCUUAUAAAUGGGGAUCCAGUGUUAAACUGGAGGACAUGGAGCGAUUUCGGAUCAAGGACGAACACUCGGAAAAUCAGGAGGGAGACCUCAUCGCUGUCGCCAAUAAAACGAAAGACAACGACUGUCGCUGUUCUCGGCUAAACCGAAGAGAAGCUGACGAAAGCAACAAAGAAGAAGCGUCGUCGGGCAGCUCUGAGGACACGUCGAGAAGAGAAAGUGAAAACAGCGGAGAUUCCGAAGCGGAAAACAGACCAAACAGCACAGAUGAGAUGGAAACGGACUCUUCUGAGAGUGACGGCAGUGAUGGUGAGGACGAUGGCGGAGAACGUUUGGGUUCUGGAGGGUUUUCAACGACAAGAGGCAUCGUUUCAGAGGAAAGGUCACGCAAGAGGAAAACCAUUCGGUUGUGAUGCUUUUUCGUGGUGAAGGUUUCUCAGCGUUAAAUGGUUGCUUUUACAAAGUUGGUUUGAUUUUCUGCAAUAAUUCUCUUUAAUUUAAUAAAUGUGUUUAUUUGACUUCA